GGAUCUUUAGCUCAGUUGGUUAGAGCUCCCGGCUCAUAACCGGUCGGUCCUGGGUUCGAGUCCCCGAAGAUCCACCA
Molecule: transfer RNA, 77 nt
Filed under: Clostridia bacterium
Lineage: Bacteria; Bacillati; Bacillota; Clostridia
Description: tRNA-Ile
Rfam family: tRNA
About the family: Transfer RNA (tRNA) molecules are approximately 80 nucleotides in length. Their secondary structure includes four short double-helical elements and three loops (D, anti-codon, and T loops). Further hydrogen bonds mediate the characteristic L-shaped molecular structure. tRNAs have two regions of fundamental functional importance: the anti-codon, which is responsible for specific mRNA codon recognition, and the 3' end, to which the tRNAs corresponding amino acid is attached (by aminoacyl-tRNA synthetases). tRNAs cope with the degeneracy of the genetic code in two manners: having more than one tRNA (with a specific anti-codon) for a particular amino acid; and 'wobble' base-pairing, i.e. permitting non-standard base-pairing at the 3rd anti-codon position.
Source: RNAcentral